AGUAAAGGCAUUGAUGAAAGAUGUUUCCAAAUUUAAAACAAGGAGGAUUAUUGAUUCAACCUUUUUCACAUUACAGCACAUUUAGAAAAUAAUGAUGUUUGUAUGACACACUUAGAUAAAUGGACCUCCCUGGUAGCCAAGGAGCUCCAGACCCUUCCUGGCUUUCUAAGAGGCUGAGAGGAUCAUUAUCUUGACAUAUGAGUUGGAGGUUCUGUCCUCUGUCCUAAAUAUUGCUACAAUUAGCACUAUUUGUUCAUUAUCUCCACAAAUACUUUUAAAGUGCCUACCACAUCAUAUGUCUGGCACUGUGCUGAGGUUUGUUCUUGGCACUUUGAGUUAACGUGGGUGGUGGGUUGGCCUAUCAAACAAUCAUGAAUAUAUAAUUAUUAUUGGUAAUAACUGUUCUGAAGGACAAAUGAUUGCAAGUUGGGUUAGUAUAAAUAAGGAACAGUAAAGAAUGUGAUGAACAAUGAUAUAGGAGAACCUGAUUUUUAUUAGCAAGGCUUCUCCAAGAAAGUGGUUUGGAGGGUAGAUGCUGUUACCUAGGCAGAGGAGUUGGGUGGUCCAUGGAUUGUGGACAAGGGCAUUCCAGACAGAAAGAAAAGCACAGCUGCGUCUUUUGAAGGCACCAAUGUGAAGAGUUUUGUUCCUUUAGGGAACUAAAAGGCUAGAGUGGCUAGAGCAAGGGAGAACAUGUGAAAUGAGACUGGAGAGGUAGGCGAGCAUGUGAUGCUGACAGAAAACAUUGUAAAUUCAAGCCUGAUCCCAACAUCCCUCCCGCCUUCAGUGCCUUCAAUGAAGACUAUGUUGGGAGUGGGUGGUCGAGAGGACACAUGGCUCCAGCAGGAAAUAACAAAUUUUCAUCUGUAGGCAUAUUUUUUGGGAGGGAUGGGAAUAUGGGGCUGGUAGUCUGUAUACUGUGGGACUUGGGCAUUAAAAGUAUAGGAGCCAAACCUUAACAUCUGACAACUUUUAUACUCUUAUUUUGUAUCUUCCUUCCUGACUUCAGUUCCUUUGCUCAGAUAGACAUUCUCACACAGGUUGAAAAAGUAAAACUAAAUGCUAUGUAAAAGAGAACUAGAGAGCUCUUAGGAGUGAACUGUCUGUCUGUCUAUGUAUUUAUUUAUUUGAAAAAUUUCGGAUCUGUAGAAAAGCUGAGAGUACAGCAAAAACAUUUUUACCUGUAGAAAAAUUGAAAAGAUGGUACAGCAAACCCUUUUUUUUUUUUUUUUCAGAGAGCGGGGAAGGGCAGAGGGAGAGAAGGAAUCUUAAGCAGGCUCCAUGCUCAGUGUUGUUCAGGAUUGCUCAGGAUAUUGUAUCAUCUAAGAAUGAAGAUAUUUGUAUAUAUGACAAGAGUAUCAUACCAAGAAGUGUGUGUAUAUGUAUUUUUGAAUAUUUGUACAGUAAUCACUAACAGUUCAUACUCAGACUUGCCAAAUUGUUCCAGUUGUGUUCUUUACAGCUUUUUUUGAUCCAGUGUUCAGUCAUGAAUCACGUAUUACACUUAGUUGGUCAUGUCUUUCUAGUCUCCUUUACUUUAGGACAAGUUCUCUGCCAAAAAAGGAGAGAAAUGUAUUUUAUGACAUUUAUUGUAUCAACUGUUGGUGAUUAUUGUCAUUAAGAUAGUGGUUUUAAACCUUAGAUACUCAUUAUAAUCACCUAGGGAUGUUUUAAAAAAUCCCGAUGCCCAGAUCCAGAGCAAAUUAAAUCAGAAACUCAAGGGGGUGGAACCCAGGCACCAAUAUUUUUAAAGCUCCUGGGUUAUUCCAGUAUGCAUUCAAGGUUGAGAACCCCUGCUUGAAGAGAAAGUUAUUGAUGGCAUUGGCAGUUAAUACAGGUCAGUGGAAGGAAAUAAUAACAGCCUUGCAGGAGUGUGAAAUGAAUGAACACCUAGUGGCCAGAAAUUCAGAAGAAAAGGAAUUCUUCCCUGCUACUUUUGAACUAAUAUGUUUGUAUUGUAUUCCUUAAAUAAAAUUUCUGAAAGUUGACCUUUAUGGAGAAACUCUUUGUCAGAGGCUGAACACCAGAAUUUAUCCUUUAGCUUUAUAUUGGAAACUUUGCUCUCAGAGUCUACAUUACUGGUUUGAAUUUUAGGAAGUACAAAGAAAGCUAGCACACCAAACUACUUAUUUUGUUAUACCCCUUUUAUGAAUAAUCAUUAUUGAGCUUUCUGACCUGGAAUAGCUAUGGCUUUCAUUUAUUUAAACACGUAGUCACUGUAAUUGCCUUGAGCUAACAUAGAAGGAACUGGCUUUCAGUGUCUGUAAAAUCUUAAAGGGGAAGGCAUUUCAUUGCAAAUUACUAUUUUUAUUUCUUUUCACAGAAAGCCAUGGCUGAAACCUUUUACCUUUCUAACAUUGUGCCUCAGAAUUUUGAUAAUAAUGCUGGCUAUUGGAACAGGUGAGGGGUGAGAGUUUUAAAAUGUGAUUCUGUGGGAGAUGAACGAUGUGCCAGGAGAACAUACUAGUGCACUCAUCAACUGUUUAUCUUUGUUUAGCAAAAGAUAGCACUACUGAAGGUAAGUACUUUGGACUAGUUGUCUUUGUUGUAUUCCGGGAGUACAGUUGUCUGUGGGAGUACAGACUUCAAAACAGCCAGCCAUUUUGAUCAUAUUUGCCACUGGUCAGAAAUAAGUUUGGGAAGAAACUACUCAAAAUAUUACUGAGGCAGUAAGAGAUUUUUUAGUCUGUCCAGGGGCAUUAUAAUUUUUUCUACUUGUAUUUCAAGAGUUCCUGAGCUUUCUAAAAAAAAGUUUUGGUACUAUUAAACAUAACCAGUUUUUGAUAGAACCUAACAAUAAAAUCACUGGACUUUUUGCAGGUUUUUGAUACUUCUAACCAGUUCUGUCAGGGGAUCUCUUUAAGCAUCUAAAACUAGCACUGAUUGAGGUUGUUUCAGCCUAUUGCAUUUUCCUCAAAUGGUACCUUAUGGUUUAAAAUACAUUAAGAGAGUACCCCACACUUAAGACUUGAAUAAUUAUCAGUCAUGGCUCCAUUGUUUUGUCUACAUACCCUCCCUUUCCCCACUCAUUUUAAGCUGUGACAGCUAUGUUGUUUUAUCUUUAAAUAUUUUAAUAUAUAUUUUUAGAAGAUAAGGGUUUUUUAAAAAUUGAAGCAGAGCAUGAUUAUUGCCCCGAAAAAAUUGAACAGUAAUUCCUUAUUGCCAGUUUGUUCAGAUUUUUCUCUCCUAAUUUUUUAUUUAUGGUUGAUUGGUUUGAAUCAGAAUUCGAACAAGGUCCACAUAUAGGUAGGUUCUUUUAAUACUCUUUUAAUCUGUAGGUUUCCUUUUUUUUUUUUUUUUUUUUUUUUUAGCCUUGCAGAUGAUUUGUUGAAGAUCUGGGAUAUUUGAUUUGUCUUACAGAGUUUCCUUUUUAUUUUGGCUGAUCGCAUACCUGCGGAAGCAUUUAACAUUUUCCUUUCCCAAGGGAUAUAUUUUUGGGAGGAUAAUUUACCUGAUAAUUAGGCAUAUAUACUGUGAGGUAUAAUACUGCUGAUUUUACUUUUUAGAUGAGGAAGCUGAGGGAUGAUGACAUGCAUUGUUAUCUCUCAUAAAUCUCUCCCAGCUGCAGUAUAAGAAAGUGCAUAUUAAACCUACUUGCCAUUUUUAUCCAGUAAAUUAGCAAAACCAUUUAUUGAUAAAUCCCAGUGUUGUAAAGAUUGCUGUGAAACUGUGGUGUCAUAUUUUGGAGUUUAUAUAGUAAAUUGGUACAAUACCAUUAAAAUAUUACUUUUACAUAUAAUCAAGUGUUAUUAAAAUAUAUAUUCAGUAAAGUAAUUCUGGCCCUUGAAAUUUAUCCUAAGGAAUGUUGCAUUAUGUAAGAAAUGUUAGGAUAAACCCAACUGCCCCACAAUAGGAAUGGUUAAAUAAAUAAGGUGUAUCAACUUGUUGAAACGAUAUAUAACUCUUCAGAAAAGAUUGAGAGCUACAAAGAAAGAUAAGGGAGAAGACAAAACAAAAUCAGUUCUAAAAUGUACACUGAAUGCACACACAGGAAAAUGUAGGUAGUUGUAUAAGUGCAUGUCAUUUUUAAGUUUUCUUGUGCAAUGAAGAACUGGGAAGAGUUGCUUAUAUGCUUAGUGUUUUUUGCAAUAUUCGUUUGUUCACAUUCAUUUGUCAAAUUCAGCAUUCCUGCUAUCUUUUCUAGGGAUUUGAAAUGGUUUGCUUCUUUUCUAUAUGUCUGUGUGAAUAUCACACCUUUUUUUUAUUUUGUUUUUCAGAAUGGAAAUGUACUGUCGAGAACUGACGGAGAGGUUUGAAGAUGUUUGGGUAGUAUCUGGACCGUUGACCUUACCUCAGACUGGAAGUGAUGGAAAGAAAACAGUUAGUUACCAGCUGAGGUCAUCCAUGUGCUUUCUCUGAUGUGCCUGUUUCAAGAAGAGAUUGAUUCCAGACAAGUGAAACAUACCUGAAGAUUCUGGCCUGAAACAUUAUAAUUGACCUGACAAGAAAGUGAUCGGUGAGGACAACGUGGCUGUCCCCUCACACCUCUAUAAGGUGAUCCUGGCCCGCAGAAGCCCAGUGUCUACUGAACCUCUGGCACUAGGGGCCUUUGUGGUGCCCAAUGACGCCAUUGGCUUCCAACCGCAG
Zalophus californianus (California sea lion) is the source of this 4587-nucleotide RNA transcript. It is a transcript of the gene named exo/endonuclease G, with no coding region annotated. Lineage: Eukaryota; Metazoa; Chordata; Mammalia; Carnivora; Otariidae. The transcript is spliced from 4 exons. The record is from RefSeq and is a predicted model, not a curated record.